CCAAUAGCGUAUAUUAAAGUUGUUGCAGUUAAAAAGCUCGUAGUUGAAUUUCGGGGUCAGUAGGUUGGUCGUGCCACGGGUAUGUAUUGGUCUCACUGAUUCCUCCUUCCUGAAGAACCGUAAUGCCAUUAAUUUGGUGUUGCGGGGAAACAGGACUGUUACUUUGAAAAAAUUAGAGUGUUUAAAGCAGGCUAACGCUUGAAUACAUUAGCAUGGAAUAAUGAAAUAGGACGAUCGAUCCUAUUUUGUUGGUUUCUAGGAUUGACGUAAUGAUUAAUAGGGAUAGUUGGGGGCAUUAGUAUUCAAUUGUCAGAGGUGAAAUUCUUGGAUUUAUUGAAGACUAACUACUGCGAAAGCAUUUGCCAAGGAUGUUUUCAUUAAUCAAGAACGAAAGUUAGGGGAUCGAAGACGAUCAGAUACCGUCGUAGUCUUAACCAUAAACUAUGCCGACUAGGGAUCGGAUGAUGUUAAUUUUUUAAUGACUCAUUCGGCGCCUUACG
RNAcentral lists this ribosomal RNA (500 nucleotides) under uncultured Glomeromycotina. RNAcentral describes it as "partial small subunit ribosomal RNA". It matches the Rfam family "Eukaryotic small subunit ribosomal RNA", at positions 591 to 1092 of the family's 1831-position model. The record is from RNAcentral. Lineage: Eukaryota; Fungi; Glomeromycota.